RNAcentral lists this ribosomal RNA (493 nucleotides) under uncultured bacterium. Its description in RNAcentral is "bacterial SSU rRNA". It matches the Rfam family "Bacterial small subunit ribosomal RNA", at positions 34 to 518 of the family's 1533-position model. The record is from RNAcentral.
CGCUAGCUACAGGCUUAACACAUGCAAGUCGAGGGGCAGCAUGGGAGUUGCUGCAAUCCUGAUGGCGACCGGCGCACGGGUGAGUAACGCGUAUCCAACCUUCCCCUUAGUAGGGCAUAGCCCGGUGAAAAUCGGAUUAAUACCCUAUGUUUUCCAAUGGCAGACAUCUAAAAUGGACAAAGGUUUACCGCUAAGGGAUGGGAUGCGUCUGAUUAGGUAGUAGGCGGGUAACGGCCCACCUAGCCUUCGAUCAGUAGGGGUUCUGAGAGGAAGGUCCCCCACAUUGGAACUGAGACACGGUCCAAACUCCUACGGGAGGCAGCAGUGAGGAAUAUUGGUCAAUGGGCGAGAGCCUGAACCAGCCAAGUAGCGUGCAAGGGAUGACGGCCCUAUGGGUUGUAAACUGCUUUUAUAUGGGGAUAAAGUUCACCACGUGUGGUGUUUUGUAGGUACCAUAUGAAUAAGGACCGGCUAAUUCCGUGCCAGCAGCUGC